GCGCCUGUAGCUCAGCUGGAUAGAGCAGCGGACUUCUAAUCCGCAGGUCGCAGGUUCGAGUCCUGCUAGGCGCGCCA
This 77-nucleotide transfer RNA is filed under the name Deltaproteobacteria bacterium. RNAcentral's name for it is "tRNA-Arg". It matches the Rfam family "tRNA". Rfam says of the family: Transfer RNA (tRNA) molecules are approximately 80 nucleotides in length. Their secondary structure includes four short double-helical elements and three loops (D, anti-codon, and T loops). Lineage: Bacteria; Pseudomonadati; Myxococcota; Myxococcia. The record is from RNAcentral.